Molecule: ribosomal RNA, 377 nt
Filed under: uncultured bacterium
Lineage: Bacteria
Description: bacterial SSU rRNA
Rfam family: Bacterial small subunit ribosomal RNA
Source: RNAcentral
AAACUGUAUAACUAGAGUAUGAAAGGGGAGGGUGGAACUAUCAAUGUAGCGGUGGAAUGCGUAGAGAUUGAUAGGAACGCCGAUAACGAAGGUAGCUCUCUGGUUCAAUACUGACGCUGAAGCGCGAAAGCUAGGGUAGCAAACGGGAUUAGAUACCCCGGUAGUCCUAGCUGUAAACGAUGGAUAUUGGGUGUACGUGGUCGAACAUCUGCGCCGAAGUUAAUGCAAUAAAUAUCCCGCCUGGGGAGUACGAUCGCAAGAUUGAAACUCAAAGGAAUUGACGGGGACCCGCACAAGCGGUGGAGCAUGUGGUUUAAUUCGAUGCAACGCGAGGAACCUUACCAGGUCUUGACAUCCUGCGAACACGUUAGAGAUAA